Non-coding RNA from Danionella cerebrum, 75 nucleotides. The record is from the annotation of a GenBank genome assembly. NCBI's taxonomy places the organism in Eukaryota, Metazoa, Chordata, Actinopteri, Cypriniformes, Danionidae.
GCUUUCCUGUGGCUCAGUCAGUAGAGCAUUGCCCUAGCAACCCAAAGGUCUUGGGUUCAAGCCCCAGGGAAAGCA